CUUUUUGUAGAACGGGCCAACGAGUUACGUUAAGUAGCAAGGUUAAGCACUUAAGGUGCGGAGCCGUAGCGAAAGCGAGUUUUAACUGAGCGUUCAGUUACUUGACGUAGACCCGAAACCGGGCGACCUACCCAUGAGCAGGAUGAAGCGAAAGUAAAAUUUCGUGGAGGUCCGAACCCACGAGCGUUGAAAAGCUCGGGGAUGACUUGUGGGUAGCGGUGAAAUUCCAAUCGAGCCCGGAGAUAGCUGGUUCUCCCCGAAAUAGCUUUAGGGCUAGCCUCAAGGUGAGAGAUACGGAGGUAGAGCACUGAAUGUCCUAGGGGGUAUUGCACCUACCGAAGACUAUCAAACUCCGAAUGCCGUCAUCUUAUACUUGGGAGUCAGACUGUGGGUGAUAAGAUUCAUAGUCGAAAGGGCAACAGCCCAGAUCGUCAGCUAAGGUCCCUAAAUGUAAGUUAAGUGGUAAAGGAUGUGGGAUUGCACAGACAACCAGGAUGUUGGCUUAGAAGCAGCCACUCAUUCAAAGAGUGCGUAAUAGCUCACUGGUCGAGUGAUCCUGCGCCGAAGAUUUCCGGGGCUAAAACUUACUACCGAAGCUACGGCAUCAGUAAUGAUGGGUAGGGGAGCUUCCCAUACGGGUUGAAGCAUGACCGUAAGGACAUGUGGACAGUAUGGGAGUGAGAAUGUUGGCAUGAGUAGCGAGAUGUGGGUGAGAAUCCCACAGGCCGUAAACCCAAGGUUUCCAGGGGAAGGUUCGUCCGCCCUGGGUUAGUCGGGACCUAAGCUGAGGCCGAAAGGCGUAGGUGAUGGACAACAGGUUGAUAUUCCUGUACUACCGAUAACCGUUUGAGAGAAGGGAUGACACAGUAGGAUAAGCUAAGCACACUGUUGGUUAUGUGUGCCCAAGCAUUGAGGCAGUCAAAGUAGGCAAAUCCGCUUUGAUAAUGCUGGGAUGUGAUGGGGAGCGAAAUUUAGUAGCGAAGUAGCUGAUUUCACACUGUCAAGAAAAGUCUCUAUCGAGGUUAAAGGUACCCGUACCGCAAACCGACACAGGUGGGUGAGGAGAGUAUCCUAAGGCCAGCGAGAGAACUGUUGUUAAGGAACUCGGCAAAAUGACCCCGUAACUUAGGGAUAAGGGGUGCCACCAUCAGGUGGCCGCAGAGAAUAGGCCCAAGCGACUGUUUACCAAAAACAUAGGUUUCUGCUAAGUCGCAAGACGAUGUAUAGGAGCUGACGCCUGCCCGGUGCUGGAAGGUUAAGGGGAUCUGUUAGAGCAAUCGAAGCAGUGAACUUAAGCCCCAGUAAACGGCGGCCGUAACUAUAACGGUCCUAAGGUAGCGAAAUUCCUUGUCGGGUAAGUUCCGACCCGCACGAAAGGCGUAACGAUUUGGGCACUGUCUCAACAACAGACUCGGUGAAAUUGUAAUUCCGGUGAAGAUGCCGGAUACCUGCGACAGGACGGAAAGACCCCAUGGAGCUUUACUGUAGCUUGACAUUGGGUCUUGGUACUACAUGUACAGGAUAGGUGGGAGGCUUUGAAACCAGGACGCCAGUUUUGGCGGAGCCAUCCUUGGGAUACCACCCUUGUAGUACUGGGACUCUAACCAUAGGCCAUGAAUCUGGUCUUGGGACACUGUCAGGUGGGCAGUUUGACUGGGGCGGUCGCCUCCCAAAAGGUAACGGAGGCGCUCAAAGGUUCUCUCAGUACGGUCGGAAAUCGUACGUAGAGUGUAAAGGCAAAAGAGAGCUUGAUUGCAAGACAUACAGGUCGAGCAAGGAUGAAAAUCGGACUUAGUGAUCCGGUGGUUCUGCGUGGAAGGGCCAUCGCUCAACGGAUAAAAGCUACCCUGGGGAUAACAGGCUUAUCUCCCCCAAGAGUCCACAUCGACGGGGAGGUUUGGCACCUCGAUGUCGGCUCAUCACAUCCUGGGGCUGUAGUAGGUCCCAAGGGUUGGGCUGUUCGCCCAUUAAAGUGGUACGCGAGCUGGGUUCAGAACGUCGUGAGACAGUUCGGUCCCUAUCCGUCGCAGGCGUAGGAAAUUUGAGAAGACCUGUCCUUAGUACGAG
Molecule: ribosomal RNA, 2067 nt
Filed under: Clostridioides difficile
Lineage: Bacteria; Bacillati; Bacillota; Clostridia; Peptostreptococcales; Peptostreptococcaceae
Description: bacterial LSU rRNA
Rfam family: Bacterial large subunit ribosomal RNA
Source: RNAcentral